UUAAAGGAAUUGACGGGGCCCGCACAAGCGGUGGAGCAUGUGGUUAAUUCGACGCAACGCGAAGAACCUUACCUGGGCUUGACAUCCCGAUCGCACCUUAUGGAAACAUAGGGGUCAGUUCGGCUGGAUCGGUGACAGGUGCUGCAUGGCUGUCGUCAGCUCGUGUCGUGAGAUGUUGGGUUAAGUCCCGCAACGAGCGCAACCCUUGUCCUUAGUUGCCAGCAUUCAGUUGGGCACUCUAAGGAGACUGCCGGUGUCAAACCGGAGGAAGGUGGGGAUGACGUCAAGUCCUCAUGGCCCUUAUGUCCAGGGCUACACACGUGCUACAAUGGCCGGUACAAAGGGGCGCAAGACCGCGAGGUGGAGCAAAUCCCAAAAAACCGGUCUCAGUUCGGAUUGGAGUCUGCAACUCGACUCCAUGAAGUUGGAAUCGCUAGUAAUCGCGUAUCAGCAUGACGCGGUGAAUACGUUCCCGGGCCUU
Molecule: ribosomal RNA, 481 nt
Filed under: uncultured Desulfuromonas sp.
Lineage: Bacteria; Pseudomonadati; Thermodesulfobacteriota; Desulfuromonadia; Desulfuromonadales; Desulfuromonadaceae
Description: bacterial SSU rRNA
Rfam family: Bacterial small subunit ribosomal RNA
Source: RNAcentral